Long non-coding RNA from Clupea harengus (Atlantic herring), 463 nucleotides. RefSeq lists it as uncharacterized. The transcript has 3 exons. The record is from RefSeq and is a predicted model, not a curated record. Lineage: Eukaryota; Metazoa; Chordata; Actinopteri; Clupeiformes; Clupeidae.
ACCAGUGCUGAUUCCUCUUUGCUGCCACUAAGGAGGAAAAUUGAGGAGCUGGCACUUGGAGUAAAACAAAGAAACAAAUCGUCUCUAUAGACAGAAUGACUCAGCACGUAACAUCCUGCGACGUAAAAUUUGGGAUGAAAAGAAAAGUUUGGCAGUCGCAGUGGGAAAAUAUGAUGCCCUUGUCCAGCCAUCAGAACAGCUUUGCUCAGCAGAAGCCAUUCUAAAGGGUGAUUCUGUUUUGCCGUGGGACCUGCCUUCCUCCGAUGGAGUAGACUUCCUGACAAAGAAAAAGCUGUUUGAUAAGGUCAUGCUCAUUCGGAGACUUGCGGAGGAAGAGAUGAUCCUUGUGCAAGAGUCGAAACAACACUGGCAUAAUCUCAAGAAAAGAGAGGAUGGCUUGAAAACCUUACUAGCCAACGUAAAUGCUGAUGGUAAGAACAAUACAUUACCGCUGUCAUUUGAA